This 399-nucleotide ribosomal RNA is filed under the name uncultured bacterium. RNAcentral's name for it is "bacterial SSU rRNA". It matches the Rfam family "Bacterial small subunit ribosomal RNA", at positions 362 to 776 of the family's 1533-position model. The record is from RNAcentral.
UAUUGGACAAUGGGGGGAACCCUGAUCCAGCGACGCCGCGUGAGUGAAGAAGUAUCCCGGUAUGUAAAGCUCUAUCAGCAGGGAAGAANNAAUGACGGUAUCUGAGUAAGAAGCCCCGGCUAACUACGUGCCAGCAGCCGCGUUAAUACGUAGGGGGCAAGCGUUAUCCGGAAUUACUGGGUGUAAAGGGAGCGUAGACGGUGAUGUAAGUCUGGAGUGAAAGGCGGGGGCCCAACCCCCGGACUGCUCUGGAAACUAUGUGACUGGAGUGCAGGAGAGGUGAGCGGAAUUCCUAGUGUAGCGGUGAAAUGCGUAGAUAUUAGGAGGAACACCAGUGGCGAAGGCGGCUCACUGGACUGUAAUUGACGUUGAGGCUCGAAAGCGUGAGGAGCAAACAGG